UUCGGCGGUCAUAGCGUCGGAGGUACACCUCUUCCCAUUCCGAACAGAGAAGUUAAGCCUGACAGCGCCGAUGGUACUCGGGGCGCAAGCCCCCGGGAGAGUAGGACGCCGCCGAAU
RNAcentral lists this ribosomal RNA (117 nucleotides) under Actinomycetota bacterium. Lineage: Bacteria; Bacillati; Actinomycetota. The record is from RNAcentral.